This 1292-nucleotide ribosomal RNA is filed under the name metagenome. RNAcentral describes it as "bacterial LSU rRNA". It matches the Rfam family "Bacterial large subunit ribosomal RNA", at positions 1615 to 2925 of the family's 2925-position model. The record is from RNAcentral.
UAGUCUCUAUCGAGGUUAAAGGUGCCUGUACCGCAAACCGACACAGGUGGGUGAGGAGAGUAUCCUAAGGCCAGCCAGAGAACUGUUGCUAAGGAACUCGGCAAAAUGACCCCGUAACUUAGGGAGAAGGGGUGCCUUCGAAAGAAGGCCGCAGAGAAUAGGCCCAAGCGACUGUUUACCAAAAACAUAGGUUUCUGCUAAGUCGCAAGACGAUGUAUAGGAGCUGACGCCUGCCCGGUGCUGGAAGGUUAAGGGGAUCUGUUAGGGUAACCGAAGCAGUGAACUUAAGCCCCAGUAAACGGCGGCCGUAACCAUAACGGUCCUAAGGUAGCGAAAUUCCUUGUCGGGUAAGUUCCGACCCGCACGAAAGGCGUAACGAUUUGGGCACUGUCUCAACAACAGACUGGGUGAAAUUGUAAUACCGGUGAAGAUGCCGGUUACCUGCGACAGGACGGAAAGACCCCAUGGAGCUUUACUGUAGCUUGACAUUGAGUCUCGGUGCUACAUGUACAGGAUAGGUGGGAGGCUAUGAAGCAUGGACGUCAGUUUGUGUGGAGCCAUCCUUGGGAUACCACCCUUGUAGUACUGGGAUUCUAACCAGCUGCCUUGAAUCAGGUAGUAGGACACUGUCAGGUGGACAGUUUGACUGGGGCGGUCGCCUCCUAAAGAGUAACGGAGGCGCUCAAAGGUUCUCUCAGUACGGUCGGAAAUCGUACGUAGAGUGUAAAGGCAGAAGAGAGCUUGAUUGCAAGACAUACAGGUCGAGCAAGGACGAAAGUCGGACUUAGUGAUCCGGUGGUACCGCAUGGAAGGGCCAUCGCUCAACGGAUAAAAGCUACCCUGGGGAUAACAGGCUGAUCUCCCCCAAGAGUCCACAUCGACGGGGAGGUUUGGCACCUCGAUGUCGGCUCAUCACAUCCUGGGGCUGUAGUAGGUCCCAAGGGUUGGGCUGUUCGCCCAUUAAAGUGGUACGCGAGCUGGGUUCAGAACGUCGUGAGACAGUUCGGUCCCUAUCCGUCGCAGGCGUAGGAAAUUUGAGGAGACCUGUCCUUAGUACGAGAGGACCGGGAUGGACGUACCGCUGGUGUACCAGUUGUUCUGCCAAGGGCAUAGCUGGGUAGCUAAGUACGGAAAGGAUAAGCGCUGAAAGCAUCUAAGCGCGAAGCCUACUUCGAGAUAAGAUUUCCCACCGCAAGGUUAAGACCCCAUGAAGACUACAUGGUUGAUAGGUCAGAGGUGGAAGUGUGGUAACAUAUGUAGCUUACUGAUACUAAUAGGUCGAGGACUUGACC